Molecule: transfer RNA, 92 nt
Filed under: Morchella conica CCBAS932
Lineage: Eukaryota; Fungi; Ascomycota; Pezizomycetes; Pezizales; Morchellaceae
Description: tRNA-Phe
Source: RNAcentral
ACUCUGGUAGUGCAGUGGUCAGCAUACCCUCACCAAAAACAUUAAAAAUUAUAAAAUGCAGGGAGACUUGGGUUCAACCCCCAACUAGAGCG